Molecule: ribosomal RNA, 392 nt
Filed under: uncultured bacterium
Lineage: Bacteria
Description: bacterial SSU rRNA
Rfam family: Bacterial small subunit ribosomal RNA
Source: RNAcentral
UGGGGAAUAUUGGACAAUGGGCGCAAGCCUGAUCCAGCCAUGCCGCGUGGAUGAUGAAGGCCCUAGGGUUGUAAAGUCCUUUUAACGGGGAAGAUAAUGACGGUACCCGUAGAAUAAGCCCCGGCUAACUUCGUGCCAGCAGCCGCGGUAAUACGAAGGGGGCUAGCGUUGCUCGGAAUUACUGGGCGUAAAGCGCACGUAGGCGGACCGAUAAGUCGGGGGUGAAAUCCUGGAGCUCAACUCCAGAACUGCCUUCGAAACUGCCGGUCUUGAGUUCGGGAGAGGUGAGUGGAACUGCGAGUGUAGAGGUGAAAUUCGUAGAUAUUCGCAAGAACACCAGUGGCGAAGGCGGCUCACUGGCCCGAGACUGACGCUGAGGUGCGAAAGCGUGG